CUUAGAAUCACCUUAAGAUGAAAAGUGCACCAGGGAGACCGAGAGUUUAUACUCCAGCAAUGACCGUGUCUCUCUUUUAGGAGAGAGGUUUUUAGGUUUUGCUUGCUUGUUGCUUGCUUGCUGAUGUAUGCUUGAUGCAUGUUUGAUGUUUGAACAUUCGGGGACGAAUGUUCUUAAAGGGGGGAAGAAUGUAAUACCCGGCUAGAUUCCGGCAUCGGAAUCCCUACCUUCCGGCGGAAUCUCCGUUGGAAUAUGGAAUUUUGAUGAUGCCAGAGUCUUCUAGAGGGGUAAAAUGUGAUUUCUAAAAUAUUUUUAGUGAUUUCAUGGUUUUAAAUGAAAAAGAUUUGAGUUUUGAAAAGAAAAGACCGAGGAGGUUUUUGCCAGGUUCGGCCGCCGAAAGUGAAGUUUGGCCGCCGAACAUGAGUUGGUUUUGGGAGCGCUUUUGGCCUCCGAAAGCUAUGUUUGAACAAACCAGGUUCGGCCGCCGAACCUCAAGUUCGGCCGCCGAACAUAGGGGUGUUUUGCAUGCACGUUAGGCCACCGAAGGAGGUUUGGCUGGCCACCUAUAAAAGCCCCUCAGACCGAAAAUGGGCGAGUUUUCUCCCCAUUCUCGAGCUCAGGUGGGUUCAUGUCCUCCUUUGGUCAUUUUCAUAUUUUUUUUCUUCAUCUCCUUCAUAUUUUUAUGAGUUCCAUGGUUGUUUUGAAGAGUUUUCAAGCUUAGAUCAAAGUUUUGGGAGCUUGGAGACCCAAGGAGUAGUUUCCUCCCAUCUCCAAGUUAGAGCUCGCACAAACCCUCGAUCUUCAAGAGGUAAGUGUGGAUCUAUGCUUUUCUUUACGUUUCAUGAAGUUUUAAGUGAGUUUUAAGAGAUUUUGAUGGUUGAGUAUGGGUAGAUAUGCAUGUUAGGGUUUAUGUGGGUUUUAUGCCCAAUGUGUGAUAAUGUAUAUUCAUGUGAUGUUUGUGUUGGGGUUUAAGUUAGUUUUCAAGCCCCUUGAGCAUAUGGGAGAGAGUAUGCAUGAUUGGGAGAGAGUACGUGAGGUUUGGUUUGUUUUGAUGGUUUUGGCCUAUGUGGGUCAUAAGCUAUCUAUGUAUGUUUCUUGAUGUUGUUUUUGGGAGUUUAAGCUCCUUUGUGCAUGGUUAAGGAUGUAUGCAUGUGUUUGAGAAGUUGGGUGCUUGUAUUGGGGUGUAUGGAAGGUUUGGGAGGCUUGAAAUGCACAAAGGCUGAAUUCUGGAUGAACUCAGGUUCGGCCGCCGAAGGUGGUUUCGGCCGCCGAACCUGCCUGAGGAUGCAUGGUUUGGCCGCCUAACCUUGCCCCCGAAAGUUGAGUUUUGGCUUGAAAGCAGACUUUCGGCCGCCGAAGGUGAAGUUCGGCCGCCGAAAGUGCCUGACUUUCGUCUCUGGAGAAGGACUUUCGGCCGCCGAAGGUGCCGCCGAAAGUGCCCGAGUUUCGCCUCUGGAGAGAAGGUUCGGCCGCCGAAGGUGCCGCCGAAAGUGCCCUGUCCAGCCUUUUCAUGAGUGUUUUCUAUGCAUGUUUAAGUGAUGCUUUAGGGAGU
Molecule: long non-coding RNA, 1552 nt
Filed under: Manihot esculenta (cassava)
Lineage: Eukaryota; Viridiplantae; Streptophyta; Magnoliopsida; Malpighiales; Euphorbiaceae
Description: long non-coding RNA (MESC_LNC006479)
Source: RNAcentral